UUUGAACACACAAAAAGAUAGUCGUCACUCUUCUCAACCAGAUUGACCGCCCACCACCAUAGUUCCGGCGAUCACACAUGUAGCAUUUCACUACCAAACCAACAAUCACCUCGAGCCAGUCAACUUCCCCAAAAGACCAAAAAUCAGUCGCCCCCAUCCAUCAUCUUCCCUUUCUCCAAAUUGAAUAAAAACACACAUAGAGCAACAUUUCCUCUCCCUAUUCCCUCCAUUUGACAACCAAAACAGUCACACCACCUAACAUAAGAGGAAGGGAAAAAAAAGUUGGACAUAAUGUUUGGAUAAGAACUAGGGACGGAAAAUUUCAGUUCUUCUUCGUUUCAAUUUGGAAUUCAAAUUCGAAAUACGAAUACAAAAAUAAUUUCAAUUUUUGCUUCAAUUUUCCUUCAUGGACUUUGUCUGAAGUUUGGUUCUGGGUUCGUCGCCGAUUUCAGCUGAGGCGCCGAGUCAACGGUGGCUCAUAAUUCCGUUCGAGUUUGAUCGCAGUUUGGGAUUUUGCUUGUAGCUGCGCUGUCCUGUCUGUUGCAAUCUGUUGAAAAUUUUCAUCAAUUGAAAUAUUUAUUUAAGGUCCAUAAUCUUUUCCUUCUCUUAUUAUACCUCUAGUUAUGAGUGAUUUCAAAAUAUGAUGUCGGAUCAUUACUUUUAGUCUUACUAUCUUUGCUGAAACACCAGCAGAGGUGUUGGAUUAAUUUUUAGUUAAGUUUAGUCCGAUCAUUUUCUUAAUCCUGUUCCAUCAAUUUUUUUAUUUACUCUUGGUCUCUUGUUUGAGAUUCCAGAAAACGUUUUGGCAAGUUUGAACCAUUCAUUUUCAUUAUGAAAUAUCUUUUUUAAGAGUAUUUUUAUCCAAUGAGCCAACAUCAUAUUUUUGAUCUACUUAUCAAUUAUGCUACACUGUUAUUGUUCUUUAUCUUAGUGUGCUUUAGAUGUUUCUGUCUAGUUGUUUGUUUUGUGUGGAUGGUUUAAAAAAUUGUUGUGAAUGAUAUUGGGUCGUAGGAAUAGGAACGAGACAAAAUAAUUAAUUGUUUACAUGCUUUAGUUUUUUCUAAAAACUAUUUUACUUUGUCAUAUUAUUCGUUAGGAGCAUGUUUAGGCCGGUAAUACUUGGGUAAGUAAGCUUUAGGAUUUUUGUUAGUUUUGAGCGAGAGGUCGUUCCUUAGUUAAAUUUAUCCGGGGAAUGCCCCGAGGGAUUUGUAUAUAUUUUAUUUCAGGGUAUGCCCCAAAGUGAAUGUAAAUGGAGCCAAAAGUAGAACCUUGUGGUAUUUUAUUUUAUUUUUAUUUUUCUAUUUUUUAUUAGGUAGGGACGAUCUCGAGUCUCUUGUGUGUUUAAUUUUCUUUUCUGUGUUUAUUGUUACCUCAAUUUGAAUAUUUUAAAAGCCCACUAGAUCGAGUACGCAACCGUGACUUUCACGGGACUUGGGGAGUGCCUAACACCUUCUCCCCGAGUCAAAUGAACCUCCUUACCUGAAAUCUCUGGUGCAUGUAUGGUUUUAGAGUCUAAAGUAUUUUAAAAGGAUAAAUAUCUUUUAAAAUGGUGACCUGGCACACCAAAAAUAAUUUUGUCACGUUCCCAAUGAAAAAACCCUUUCAAGCUUUACUAAAUCUUUUUAUUUAUUUAAAUGGGCUUAGUGGAGUUUGUUUAAAAAAGGGGCGUGACAGCUGAUACAACAGACUUAUCUCUAGAAAUGGCUUAGCGCCUUCGGGAUCAGGAGGAAGAAGAAGAUGAUGACUGCCUGCUGGUGACCCACAAAAGAAAAAAUGUUGAUUAUUUGAAGCCAAUCGAGCCGGUGGCAGCGGAUGUGGGUCAUUACAGAGCCGAAGAAAUCUCCGAAGGGGGUUCAAACAAAGUCCCCAAACUACCAUCCAGAAAAGAAGGCACCUCACCUAGGAGAACAUUUGGAGGGCAAGGUCAAACGACCUAAUCCCGAAACUCUGCAAGUAAAAGAGAAUGCUCCGAGUAGAUCACUUGGGGUAAUCAAUGUGGAUGAUUCACCUCCUGGCCCCAAAUUCUCCGAGGGACAAAUUCGAGAUGCACAGAAUAUGAGGUCUUCUGAAGUGGAAGCAAGCCAUGAAGGGCAUGACAUCUUUCGAGAAUGUUUCGUAGGGCUUGAAGAUGGCCCUGACCCCGAUGCUUCUUUCAUUUUUUGAUGAGGCUCGUAGACUUUUUAAACAAGUGAGUUUUCUAUUUCUUACGCCUACACCUUUGUUUUAGUUGUUGAAUAUAUCUUUCCUCCUUUUUUUCAUGAAGGCUGUAGUGAUCCAUAAAAGGGCAUUUUUCAAGUCUCGAGCUGAUCUUCAGGCUGAACUUAAGAAGGCUUUGGAGGAGAGGGACGUCGUUAAAGCCCUCUAUUCUAAGAAAGAGUUGGGGAUCUAUGAUCUACAAGUUGAGUUGAUGCAGGCAUCCCAAGAUCAGGCCGAGUAUGUUGAGAAG
This 2446-nucleotide long non-coding RNA is filed under the name Nicotiana benthamiana. RNAcentral describes it as "long non-coding RNA (NBEN_LNC013814)". The record is from RNAcentral. Lineage: Eukaryota; Viridiplantae; Streptophyta; Magnoliopsida; Solanales; Solanaceae.